GGCGGCGUGCCUAAUACAUGCAAGUCGAACGAGUUCUGAUUAUUGAAAGGUGCUUGCAUCUUGAUUUAAUUUUGAACGAGUGGCGGACGGGUGAGUAACACGUGGGUAACCUGCCCUUAAGUGGGGGAUAACAUUUGGAAACAGAUGCUAAUACCGCAUAAAUCCAAGAACCGCAUGGUUCUUGGCUGAAAGAUGGCGUAAGCUAUCGCUUUUGGAUGGACCCGCGGCGUAUUAGCUAGUUGGUGAGGUAACGGCUCACCAAGGCAAUGAUACGUAGCCGAACUGAGAGGUUGAUCGGCCACAUUGGGACUGAGACACGGCCCAAACUCCUACGGGAGGCAGCAGUAGGGAAUCUUCCACAAUGGACGCAAGUCUGAUGGAGCAACGCCGCGUGAGUGAAGAAGGCUUUCGGGUCGUAAAACUCUGUUGUUGGAGAAGAAUGGUCGGCAGAGUAACUGUUGUCGGCGUGACGGUAUCCAACCAGAAAGCCACGGCUAACUACGUGCCAGCAGCCGCGGUAAUACGUAGGUGGCAAGCGUUAUCCGGAUUUAUUGGGCGUAAAGCGAGCGCAGGCGGUUUUUUAAGUCUGAUGUGAAAGCCCUCGGCUUAACCGAGGAAGUGCAUCGGAAACUGGGAAACUUGAGUGCAGAAGAGGACAGUGGAACUCCAUGUGUAGCGGUGAAAUGCGUAGAUAUAUGGAAGAACACCAGUGGCGAAGGCGGCUGUCUGGUCUGUAACUGACGCUGAGGCUCGAAAGCAUGGGUAGCGAACAGGAUUAGAUACCCUGGUAGUCCAUGCCGUAAACGAUGAAUGCUAGGUGUUGGAGGGUUUCCGCCCUUCAGUGCCGCAGCUAACGCAUUAAGCAUUCCGCCUGGGGAGUACGACCGCAAGGUUGAAACUCAAAGGAAUUGACGGGGGCCCGCACAAGCGGUGGAGCAUGUGGUUUAAUUCGAAGCAACGCGAAGAACCUUACCAGGUCUUGACAUCUUUUGAUCACCUGAGAGAUCAGGUUUCCCCUUCGGGGGCAAAAUGACAGGUGGUGCAUGGUUGUCGUCAGCUCGUGUCGUGAGAUGUUGGGUUAAGUCCCGCAACGAGCGCAACCCUUAUGACUAGUUGCCAGCAUUUAGUUGGGCACUCUAGUAAGACUGCCGGUGACAAACCGGAGGAAGGUGGGGAUGACGUCAAAUCAUCAUGCCCCUUAUGACCUGGGCUACACACGUGCUACAAUGGAUGGUACAACGAGUUGCGAGACCGCGAGGUCAAGCUAAUCUCUUAAAGCCAUUCUCAGUUCGGACUGUAGGCUGCAACUCGCCUACACGAAGUCGGAAUCGCUAGUAAUCGCGGAUCAGCACGCCGCGGUGAAUACGUUCCCGGGCCUUGUACACACCGCCCGUCACACCAUGAGAGUUUGUAACACCCGAAGCCGGUGGCGUAACCCUUUUAGGGAGCGAGCCGUCUAAGGUGGGACAAAUGAUUAGGGUGAAGUCAUAACA
RNAcentral lists this ribosomal RNA (1493 nucleotides) under uncultured organism. Its description in RNAcentral is "SSU rRNA". It matches the Rfam family "Bacterial small subunit ribosomal RNA". The record is from RNAcentral.